Molecule: ribosomal RNA, 253 nt
Filed under: uncultured bacterium
Lineage: Bacteria
Description: partial 16S ribosomal RNA
Rfam family: Bacterial small subunit ribosomal RNA
Source: RNAcentral
UACGAAGGGGGCUAGCGUUGUUCGGAAUUACUGGGCGUAAAGCGCGCGCAGGCGGCUCAUCAAGUCAGGGGUGAAAUCCCGGAGCUCAACUCCGGAAUUGCCUUUGAAACUGGUGGGCUUGAGGACGGAAGAGGUGAGUGGAAUUCCCAGUGUAGAGGUGAAAUUCGUAGAUAUUGGGAAGAACACCGGUGGCGAAAGCGGCUCACUGGUCCGUUUCUGACGCUCAGGCGCGACAGCGUGGGGAUCAAACAGG